RNAcentral lists this ribosomal RNA (253 nucleotides) under uncultured bacterium. Its description in RNAcentral is "partial 16S ribosomal RNA". It matches the Rfam family "Bacterial small subunit ribosomal RNA", at positions 524 to 776 of the family's 1533-position model. The record is from RNAcentral.
UACGGGGGGGGCAAGCGUUGUUCGGAAUUACUGGGCGUAAAGGGCUCGUAGGUGGCCAACUAAGUCAGACGUGAAAUCCCUCGGCUUAACUGGGGAACUGCGUCUGAUACUGGAUGGCUUGGAUUCGGGAGAGGAAUGCGGAAUUCCAGGUGUAGCGGUGAAAUGCGUAGAUAUCUGGAGGAACACCGGUGGCGAAGGCGGCAUUCUGGACCGACAUUGACGCUGAGGAGCGAAAGCCAGGGGAGCAAACGGG